AAUAUUGCGCAAUGGGGGGAACCCUGACGCAGCAACGCCGCGUGAGCGAAGAAGGCCUUCGGGUCGUAAAGCUCUGUCAUCGGGGAAGAAAAAAAUGACGGUACCCGAGGAGGAAGCCCCGGCUAACUACGUGCCAGCAGCCGCGGUAAUACGUAGGGGGCAAGCGUUGUCCGGAAUUACUGGGCGUAAAGGGCACGCAGGCGGUUAGUUAAGUCUGAUGUGAAAUCUGUGGCUUAACCACAAGCGGUCAUUGGAAACUGGAUAACUUGAGUACAGAAGAGGAGAGUGGAAUUCUACGUGUAGCGGUGAAAUGCGUAGAGAUGUGGAGGAACACCAGUGGCGAAGGCGGCUCUCUGGUCUGUAACUGACGCUGAGGUGCGAAAGCGUGGGUAGCGAACA
Molecule: ribosomal RNA, 399 nt
Filed under: uncultured bacterium
Lineage: Bacteria
Description: partial 16S ribosomal RNA
Rfam family: Bacterial small subunit ribosomal RNA
Source: RNAcentral